This 621-nucleotide ribosomal RNA is filed under the name Vibrio sp. 2J4. RNAcentral describes it as "bacterial SSU rRNA". It matches the Rfam family "Bacterial small subunit ribosomal RNA", at positions 88 to 706 of the family's 1533-position model. Lineage: Bacteria; Pseudomonadati; Pseudomonadota; Gammaproteobacteria; Vibrionales; Vibrionaceae. The record is from RNAcentral.
AUGACGAGCGGCGGACGGGUGAGUAAUGCCUGGGAAUAUGCCUUGAUGUGGGGGAUAACCAUUGGAAACGAUGGCUAAUACCGCAUAAUGCCUACGGGCCAAAGAGGGGGAUCUUCGGACCUCUCGCGUCAAGAUUAGCCCAGGUGGGAUUAGCUAGUUGGUGAGGUAAUGGCUCACCAAGGCGACGAUCCCUAGCUGGUCUGAGAGGAUGAUCAGCCACACUGGAACUGAGACACGGUCCAGACUCCUACGGGAGGCAGCAGUGGGGAAUAUUGCACAAUGGGCGCAAGCCUGAUGCAGCCAUGCCGCGUGUGUGAAGAAGGCCUUCGGGUUGUAAAGCACUUUCAGUCGUGAGGAAGGUAGUUGCGUUAAUAGCGUAAUUAUUUGACGUUAGCGACAGAAGAAGCACCGGCUAACUCCGUGCCAGCAGCCGCGGUAAUACGGAGGGUGCGAGCGUUAAUCGGAAUUACUGGGCGUAAAGCGCAUGCAGUGGUUUGUUAAGUCAGAUGUGAAAGCCCGGGGCUCAACCUCGGAAUUGCAUUUGAAACUGGCAGACUAAAGUACUGUAUAGGGGGGUAGAAUUUCAGGUGUAGCGGUGAAAUGUGUAUAGAUUUGAAGGAA